GCAUUGAACUCUGAUCCUACUUGUGUAGAUCUCGGUGGACGCCGUAACAUUAAAACACUAAUUCGACUGGAGCCAUCCUUGAAAUACCACCCUGGUAUGGUUGGGGUUCUAACCUAGGUCCGUUAUCCGGAUUGGGGACAAUGCAUGGUGGGUAGUUUGACUGGGGCGGUCUCCUCCCAAAGAGUAACGGAGGAGCGCAAAGGUACCCUCAGCACGGUCGGACAUCGUGCAAUGAGCGCAAAGGUAAAAGGGUGCUUGACUGCGAGACUGACACGUCGAGCAGGUAGGAAACUAGGUCUUAGUGAUCCGGUGGUUCUGAGUGGAAGGACCAUCGCUCAACGGAUAAAAGGUACGCCGGGGAUAACAGGCUGAUACCGCCCAAGAGUUCACAUCGACGGCGGUGUUUGGCACCUCGAUGUCGGCUCAUCACAUCCUGGGGCUGAAGCAGGUCCCAAGGGUAUGGCUGUUCGCCAUUUAAAGUGGUACGCGAGCUGGGUUUAGAACGUCGUGAGACAGUUCGGUCCCUAUCUACCGUGGGCGUUGGAGACUUGAGGGAAGCUGUUCUUAGUACGAGAGGACCGGAAUGGACACACCUCUGGUGUUUCGGUUGUGACGCCAGUCGCAUUGCCGAGUAGCUAUGUGUGGAAAGGAUAACCGCUGAAAGCAUCUAAGCGGGAAGCCCCUCCCAAGAUUAGGUCUCCCUGAUAGUUUAACUAUCCUAAAGAUCCCUUGAAGACUACGAGGUUGAUAGGCAGGGUGUGGAAGCACAGUGAUGUGUGAAGCUAACCUGUACUAAUUGAUCGUGAGACUUGACCAUAUAACACCCAAAUUAUUUGA
Molecule: ribosomal RNA, 837 nt
Filed under: Bathymodiolus heckerae thiotrophic gill symbiont
Lineage: Bacteria
Description: Large Subunit Ribosomal RNA; lsuRNA; LSU rRNA
Rfam family: Bacterial large subunit ribosomal RNA
Source: RNAcentral